AGGGGCCCUUUNNGGGNUUNNUAAAGUACCUUUUCCAGCCNGUGAGGAAGGUGGAGUAUUUUUAAUAGCAUAAUUCAUUUGACGUUAGCUGCAGAAGAAGCCCCGGCUAACUCCGUGCCCAGCAGCCGCGGUAAUACGGAGGGUGCGAGCGUUAAUCGGAAUUACUGGGCGUAAAGCGCAUGCAGGUGGUUUGUUAAGUCAGAUGUGAAAGCCCGGGGCUCAACCUCGGAAUUGCAUUUGAAACUGGCAAACUAGAGUACUGUAGAGGGGGGUAGAAUUUCAGGUGUAGCGGUGAAAUGCGUAGAGAUCUGAAGGAAUACCGGUGGCGAAGGCGGCCCCCUGGACAGAUACUGACACUCAGAUGCGAAAGCGUGGGGAGCAAACAGGAUUAGAUACCCUGGUAGUCCACGCCGUAAACGAUGUCUACUUGGAGGUUGUGGCCUUGAGCCGUGGCUUUCGGAGCUAACGCGUUAAGUAGACCGCCUGGGGAGUACGGUCGCAAGAUUAAAACUCAAAUGAAUUGACGGGGGCCCGCGCAAGCGGUGGAGCAUGUGGUUUAAUUCGAUGCAACGCGAAGAACCUUACCUACUCUUGACAUCUACAGAAGCCAGCGGAGACGCAGGUGUGCCUUCGGGAACUGUAAGACAGGUGCUGCAUGGCUGUCGUCAGCUCGUGUUGUGAAAUGUUGGGUUAAGUCCCGCAACGAGCGCAACCCUUAUCCUUGUUUGCCAGCACUUCGGGUGGGAACUCCAGGGAGACUGCCGGUGAUAAACCGGAGGAAGGUGGGGACGACGUCAAGUCAUCAUGGCCCUUACGAGUAGGGCUACACACGUGCUACAAUGGCGCAUACAGAGGGCGGCCAACUUGCGAAAGUGAGCGAAUCCCAAAAAGUGCGUCGUAGUCCGGAUUGGAGUCUGCAACUCGACUCCAUGAAGUCGGAAUCGCUAGUAAUCGUGGAUCAGAAUGCCACGGUGAAUACGUUCCCGGGCCUUGUACACACCGCCCGUCACACCAUGGGAGUGGGCUGCAAAAGAAGUGGGUAGUUUAACCUUCGGGAGGACGCUCACCACUUUGUGGUUCAUGACUGGGGUGAAGUCGUAACAAGGUAGCCG
RNAcentral lists this ribosomal RNA (1112 nucleotides) under uncultured bacterium. RNAcentral's name for it is "bacterial SSU rRNA". It matches the Rfam family "Bacterial small subunit ribosomal RNA", at positions 408 to 1502 of the family's 1533-position model. The record is from RNAcentral.